RNAcentral lists this transfer RNA (66 nucleotides) under Lepyrus sp. G312. Its description in RNAcentral is "tRNA-Pro". Lineage: Eukaryota; Metazoa; Arthropoda; Insecta; Coleoptera; Curculionidae. The record is from RNAcentral.
CAGGAAAUAGUUUAAAAAAUAUUAAUUUUGGAGAUUAAAGUUAGAAGAUUUCUCUUUUUUUCCUGA